CUGCAGGUGACAUUUCUUGGCAAUAUCUUUUAUAUUUCUAACAUAGAAUAAACAAGAUAUGUUGAUAUUAUGAAGGGGAGAAAAUCAGACACUACCUCCUUUAAAAAAUGCCAUUUAGAAAGGGGGUCAGUCAUACUAAGGCAGAUAUUAUCUACCAAAACAUGAUGAAAUUGCCUCCAAAAUCAUUAGGUCAAGGAUUUCGGAAACAUAACUUUUGUUUUUACCUUUUUGGAAGGUGAGGACAUCUAUAGGUGCAUGCAGUCCAGCACUUCAUAUGGGUAUUAUAAGGUAAAGUUAAACACCGUUUGAAAAAUGCUAGUGAAAUAUGAUAUCAUGGUCAAUUGUUGGAAGAAAAAUGACAGUCAUACACAUGAGAAACAUCAACUUAAUGCGGUUUUAUGUAAUCUUCUUGAAAACGAGUUUAGGCAAUUCUUGUACAAGAUGACAGCAAUAGUUGUUUUUACUGAGUUAACUAACAUAACUUUUCUGUACAUUGAAGUUGUGAAAUACUUUGCUUACGUCUGAACUCUGUAGGUUUCAUCCUUCCUGAUGAGAUCUGCUGUUGUCGUUGGUCCUAGAAUCAAUGGAAGGCUAACAAUAUCAUCGUCGAUUUCCUGGAUGAUUGGUGUGGCCUGCAAUAUAUAUCCUGGUACCACCAGAGAAUCCGAGAUGCUAACGCCCCGCGCCAGGAAAGCAGCAGCCAGUUUGACCACGGGAUUGCCAGCAACGGUAAAAGAUUAACACCAGGCAUGAAAAGAUGUGAAAACAAAAAGGUAGAACAAGGAGUAUUUUCAUCUCGUACGCGUUGGUUGGCUGCAUUUAUCGGUAGGAACCCAUCAAACUCCAAACAAUAGAAGAAGAAGAAGAUGAUCGUGUGGUCUUCCAAAAAAUAGAAGAAGAAGAAUAUGAAGAAUUGAUCAUGUGGUCGAUUUAGGUUACAAUGGGAAUUUCGGCUUGAUGAACCUAUCGUUUGGGGUUUUUUCUCUCGAGUAAGUACCAGUCAGUGGUUGUCUACUAAACCAUGAAAUCU
This is a long non-coding RNA of Phragmites australis (common reed), 1030 nucleotides long. RefSeq lists it as uncharacterized. Lineage: Eukaryota; Viridiplantae; Streptophyta; Magnoliopsida; Poales; Poaceae. The transcript is spliced from 3 exons. The record is from RefSeq and is a predicted model, not a curated record.